CCUACGGGCUGCACCAGUAGGGAAUCUUCGGCAAUGGACGAAAGUCUGACCGAGCAACGCCGCGUGAGUGAAGAAGGUUUUCGGAUCGUAAAACUCUGUUGUUAGAGAAGAACAAGUAGGAGAGUAACUGCUCUUACCUUGACGGUAUCUAACCAGAAAGCCACGGCUAACUACGUGCCAGCAGCCGCGGUAAUACGUAGGUGGCAAGCGUUGUCCGGAUUUAUUGGGCGUAAAGCGAGCGCAGGCGGUCUUUUAAGUCUGAUGUGAAAGCCCUCGGCUCAACCGAGGAAGGUCAUUGGAAACUGGAGGACUUGAGUGCAGAAGAGGAGAGUGGAAUCCCAUGUGUAGCGGUGAAAUGCGUAGAUAUAUGGAGGAACACCAGUGGUGAAGGCGACUCUCUGGUCUGUAACUGACGCUGAGGCUCGAAAGCGUGGGGAGCAAACAGGAUUAGAUACCCGGGUAGUC
Molecule: ribosomal RNA, 465 nt
Filed under: uncultured bacterium
Lineage: Bacteria
Description: bacterial SSU rRNA
Rfam family: Bacterial small subunit ribosomal RNA
Source: RNAcentral